This 83-nucleotide non-coding RNA is filed under the name uncultured Butyrivibrio sp. Its description in RNAcentral is "ZMP/ZTP riboswitch". It matches the Rfam family "ZMP/ZTP riboswitch aptamer (pfl RNA motif)". From Rfam's summary of the family: Previously known as pfl RNA. ZMP is also known as AICAR. Lineage: Bacteria; Bacillati; Bacillota; Clostridia; Lachnospirales; Lachnospiraceae. The record is from RNAcentral.
GCUGUGUGACUGGCGGAAAUAAGUGGCAGAAAGCUACGGGGAGCACAGCAAAAUAUAUAUUUAGCCGACCGCCUGGGCAGCCU